This 253-nucleotide ribosomal RNA is filed under the name uncultured bacterium. Its description in RNAcentral is "partial 16S ribosomal RNA". It matches the Rfam family "Bacterial small subunit ribosomal RNA", at positions 524 to 776 of the family's 1533-position model. The record is from RNAcentral.
UACGUAGGUGGCAAACGUUGUCCGGAUUUAUUGGGUUUAAAGGGUGCGUAGGCGGUCUAUUAAGUCAGUGCUGAAAUAUCCCGGCUUAACCGGGGAGGGUGGCAUUGAUACUGAUGGACUUGAGUAAGGUUGAGGUAGGCGGAAUUGACGGUGUAGCGGUGAAAUGCUUAGAUAUCGUCAAGAACACCGAUAGUGUAGACAGCUUACUAGCUUUAACUGACGCUGAGGCACGAAAGUGUGGGGAUCAAACAGG